AUUUGCUAUGGUGGCUCCACUUGAGGGACCAAUUUUGUACUUUUACCAAAUGAUGGCACAGUGCCACAGCUGCUAGUUCAUGGUCACCCCUGCCUGCGCACCAAUUUUCCUCUCCGGUGGCCGGCGCAGGCUAGGGUUUGCAUGAACUAGGAGUCGUAGGUUACCUCUUCAUUUUUUUUGUUUUGGUUUGAAGGGAGCUCCUUUUUGCUCUUUC
Molecule: microRNA precursor, 214 nt
Filed under: Corchorus capsularis
Lineage: Eukaryota; Viridiplantae; Streptophyta; Magnoliopsida; Malvales; Malvaceae
Description: pre miRNA MIR159
Source: RNAcentral